AUGUGCCCGCCCAGCGCCUGCCCGAGCGCGAACUCCACGCCGCACACCGUGCACCCGUGCCUCCUCGCGGGCACCGGCGCCGGCGCCGGCGCCUGCUCGCUGAUCGGGUCGCCCCGCGGCCGCUUGUGGCUGGCGCGGUGGCCGCCGAGCGCCUGGAACGACGGGAACUGGCGGUUGCACGUCUUGCACUCGAACGCGCGCGGCCGCGCCACCGCCACCGGCUCGCCGCCCCCCAUCGCGGCGCUCCGCGCGGCGAGCAGCAUCAUCACCUCAUGGGCUAUGGCGGCGCCGUCCACCUCCGCCUCCUCGCCAAACCUCAGCCUCUUCAUUGUCGGAUCGAUGGACUGA
RNAcentral lists this ribosomal RNA (348 nucleotides) under Triticum aestivum (bread wheat). Its description in RNAcentral is "partial small subunit ribosomal RNA". The record is from RNAcentral. Lineage: Eukaryota; Viridiplantae; Streptophyta; Magnoliopsida; Poales; Poaceae.